GAAAUGCGAUAAGUAAUGUGAAUUGCAGAAUUCCGUGAAUCAUCGAAUCUUUGAACGCACAUUGCGCCCUCUGGUAUUCCGGGGGGCAUGCCUGUCCGAGUGUCAUUGCGAACCCCUCAAGCACGGCUUGUGUGAUGGGCCCUCCCGCGUCUUGGUCGUCAAGACGGGCCCGAAAAGCAGUGGCGGCUUCGCGAUUAUCCGAUCAGCCAGAGCGUAUGGGGACUUUCUCUCUGUCACACGCCCGCGGCGCGGACCGACGCCUGUCGACCUUUAUUCAUCUUUUUCUCGGUUGACCUCGGAUCAGGUAGGGAUACCCGCUGAACUUAAGC
This 329-nucleotide unclassified non-coding RNA is filed under the name plant metagenome. RNAcentral's name for it is "partial contains 5.8S ribosomal RNA, internal transcribed spacer 2, and large subunit ribosomal RNA". The stretch from base 1 to 105 matches the Rfam family "5.8S ribosomal RNA", at positions 50 to 154 of the family's 154-position model. The record is from RNAcentral.